This 24-nucleotide non-coding RNA is filed under the name Cricetulus griseus (Chinese hamster). Lineage: Eukaryota; Metazoa; Chordata; Mammalia; Rodentia; Cricetidae. The record is from RNAcentral. RNAcentral also lists the same sequence under 1 other name.
AUGUCUCUGUGGCGCAAUCGGUUA